RNA transcript from Cavia porcellus (domestic guinea pig), 3196 nucleotides. It is a transcript of the gene named leukocyte immunoglobulin-like receptor subfamily A member 5, with no coding region annotated. The transcript has 6 exons. The record is from RefSeq and is a predicted model, not a curated record. Lineage: Eukaryota; Metazoa; Chordata; Mammalia; Rodentia; Caviidae.
AAUCGUAUGACAGGCACUGUGAUCUCCACACAGUCUCACCUGGAGGUAGGAAACCAUGACUGCCACACUCACGGCCCUGCUCUGCAUCAGUGAGAACUGAGCGAUGGGAUGGGAAUGCCUAGUCUGCAACCCACAGCCAGGCCCUGGUCCAUCAGAAGAACAGGGGCACAGGAGGCUCUGGGGAGCAGAGGCCCUGCUGAGGCUCGAGGGCAAAGUGCUCACAGGGAACUCUCUUCCAGGGCUGAGUCUGGGCCCCAGGACUCCAGUGAAAGCAGGGACCCUAUCCAAACCUAGGCCCCAGGCUGAGCCAGGAUCUGUGAUACCAUGGGGGAAACCUGUGACCUUCUGGUGUGAGGGGACUAUGGGAGCCCAGGAAUAUGCUCUGCACAAAGAGGGAACUGAGAGCCUUGGAGAAAAUAAACAUCGUAGGAACUCAAGAACAUGGCCGUGUUCUCCAUUCCAUCCGUGACAGAGCACCAUGCAGGGCUACAUCGAUGCUACUAUGGAACCCUUCUGGCUACUCAGAGCCCAGUGAGCCCCUGGAGCUGGUGAUUAUAGGAGCCUACAGCAAACCCAGCCUCUCAGCUCUGCCCAGACUUGUGGUGACCUCAGCAAGGAAGAUGACCCUCCAGUGUAUGGCACAGCUGGGAUUUGACAGGUUCAUUCUGACUAAGGCAGGAGGAGACAAACUUUCCUGGACACUGGACUCACAGCGAGGCCCCAGUGAGCAGGCUAAAGCCCUGUUCCAUGUGAGCCCUGUGACCCCCAGACAAAGGUGGACAUUCAGAUGCUGCAGCUAUUACUGGAACCAAUCCCAGCUGUGGUCAGAAACCAGGGAAACCCUGGAGCUCCAGAUCUCAGGAGUCUACAGCAAACCCAGCCUCUCAGCCCUGUCCAGCCCUGUGGUGACCUCAGGGGAGAAUGUGACCCCAAAGUGUGGCUCAUGGGAGGGAUCUGACAGGUUCUUUGUGAUUAAGAUAGGAGAAGACAAGCUCUACUGGACACUAGACUCACAACCAGGCCCUAACCAACAGGUCCUGGCCCUAUUCCCUGUGGGUGCUUUGAACCCUAUGGAAAGAUAGACAUUCAAGUGCUAUGGCUGUUUUGCUACCAAACCUCAGGUGUGAUCAGAGCACAGUGAUGCCCUGGAGCUCCUGGUCUCAGAUCGUCCCUAGGAGGAGGUUGGGUCAGGACAUCUGUACUUCAUGGGGUGGUUUCAAAGCUAAGAGAAAUGUUGGGGUCCAGCCUGGGAGAGGAUCAGCACCAGAAGUGAGGAACAGGGAACCAAGAGCCUCACCUCCCCAUCCUUCCUAAGAUUCAUUGAAGAUCAUCAGCCCAGCACACCAGAGUCUGGAUCCCUAGGUGCCCCUCCUGUGUGGGCCUCAGUUUCUCCAGGUGCAGAGGAGAGGCCUGGCCCCUACCGUCAAGUUCCUCUCAGUGAUGACCUUGCUGUGAGCCUUGGAGAGUCAGCUUCGCAGGGGAGAUCCAGGAUGUGACUGCAGGGGUCCUGUCCCUCUCUGCAGUGACAGUGAUAGUGGGGAUGGUUCCAGGCAGAGCAGCACCAUUCCAAUUCUCUCCCUCAAACACAGGAGCUCGGCGCUUGUGGGAAAAGGAGUUUGGAAAUCAGACUCUCUGGGCUCAGUCCCCACUUGCCCCAUCCUUCUAUGUCACCUGGGACCCAAAACUGACCUGAAGUGGCACCACCAGUUCUUCCUCAGAACCUCACAUCCCAGUGAGGCCCUCUGUCCAACCAAGUCACCCUGUGUCCUGUUGCCAUCACUGGUCUUAGACCCCAGAACACAGUGGUGGUGGAGGGGAGGGUCCGCAGGGGAGCAUCCCCCCAUAAGGAGGCUAAUGCAGGCUGGAGCUCUCUGCCUGUGCUACCACCGUGAUGUCUCCCAUGGAGAUAAUGGGCAGGGAGAGACCCAAGGGGACAUAAGUGAGAUGGGAGGAAGUGGGAAUGGACUGAGGGAGAGGACAGGACCCAACCCUCUCCUCCUGAUGUCCCCACCACAGAGUCAGCUGCUCUGCUGUUCCAGUACCUCAGUCAUGACCCUGCCCAUGUGGGUGGAGGAGACACUGUAACGUGAGACCCGGGAGUCCUGCACACAUCCUAGCACUGUGUGUGAAUUUCAGGGCAGGAUCAGUCUCCAGAGGAGUGGGGAAGUGGACCCUGAGGGAGCCUGGUGGCUUCCUGGGGCUCUGAGGACAGGGUGCCUGCUUCCCUGUGGUGAGAGGGGUGGAGGUGUCUGAGGUCCAGGCAGGAAGCAGGGUCCUGGAGGGCAGAGGGCAGCCUUGCCGGGGUCUGACUGCGGGUGAGCUGAGCCCCCAGCACAGCCACUUCUGAAGAGAGAAGCACCAGGCUGCUGGCACUGUUGGGCAUGGACCCUCUUGAAUCCCUUGGAGCUUCUGAGCUCAGUGCUUACCUGAGACUUGGAAGGGGCCAUUGCUGUUGGGAGGGCUCACUGGGGUCCCCACCUGGCAGGGCUGCUGUGCAAUCAUGUUUGAGUCAUUGUGCAUUUCCUAUUUACACCCCUGUGAUGUUGCUCUGUCUUUUCAAAUGUAAAGAGAUACUUUUCUGUGGAUAUAUGAAAUUAUACCUUACAGAUACAUGAAAUUAUACCUUAAAUAACACUGACCUGCUUUUCUGUUUUCAUAGGAAAAGAUUAUCUUUGUAUAUUAAUUAUAGAGAAUAACAGUAUCACACAUAUCCAAUAUGCUUGAAUUGAGCUUUACUAAUGAACUUUAGAAAUAUUUCAAAGUUGUAUUCAUAAGAAUUAUUAACAUUUGUAAGGAAUCUUUAAAUGGAUCAAGCAUUUUAAUUAUUUGAAAACAAUUCUGUGAUUCAUAGUUACUGAAUAAUAACACUAAAAACCAAAAGGAUAUUAGGUUUAAAACUUUUAUUGUGCACUAAAUGUAUUUAUUUGUUUGUUUGUUAUUUGUUUGUAAAGUAAAACCAGGACCUUGCACUUGGCAGGAAGGUGCUGUGCUGCUGAGCUAACUCCCUAGCCUCCAUACUGAUUUUUUGUUCUCCCCUCUCCUCCAGCUUUUCAGUGUUAAAAUUUGUGUCCAGUACACUAAAAUGAAAAUUAUAUUUCAUAAAAUAUCAACAGGACACCAAUAUUCUUGAUUCAAAUGUGCAUGCACGUGGCUAUACAUGUCUCCACCAUAAUCUAAAUAUACCUUAAUAACAUAA